RNAcentral lists this long non-coding RNA (223 nucleotides) under Phoenix dactylifera (date palm). RNAcentral describes it as "long non-coding RNA (PDAC_LNC004211)". The record is from RNAcentral. Lineage: Eukaryota; Viridiplantae; Streptophyta; Magnoliopsida; Arecales; Arecaceae.
UAUAAAUAGGGCCCAAUAAGAACAAUUAAAAUAAAACCCCCUUACACAAAAUAAUUCCCAAUAAACCCAAACUACACAAAUAAAGUCCAACAAUAAUAAAAUUGCAAACAAAUCCAAAAAUAAAAGAAAAUAAAAUGCAAAUAAAAUAGGGGAGACUAAACGGCAGGGUGGUCAGCUCUGAUGUCCCCAUCAACUCCUUCCGGGUGGGAGAAGCUCGACCCCG